Triticum aestivum (bread wheat) is the source of this 595-nucleotide long non-coding RNA. RefSeq lists it as uncharacterized. The record is from RefSeq and is a predicted model, not a curated record. The transcript has 2 exons. Lineage: Eukaryota; Viridiplantae; Streptophyta; Magnoliopsida; Poales; Poaceae.
ACACAAGGCUCGAUACGAGCCUUUGGCAAUACUUGGCCAGCCUCCUCGUGUGCGUACAUGUGUGUAGUGCACGCCGGCCGGAUUAAUCAGCCGGUUGCUAGAUACGUGCGUGUUCGGCGUAGGAGUUCGUGUACGAGUGCAACUCGCCGGGCUACGUAGCUAGCUGUGCUAGCUUCGAUCGAUCGGGACGGAUCGAGCCAGCUUGGGGCAGAAACCAAGACUGUCGGCAAGUUCUUCAUCGUCGUUGUUCGUCGUCGGGCGUUCGCGUGUCGUCAAAAAGUACUCGGCGUGCACGGUUUGGGCCAACAAUCAAUUCAAUGGAGCGAAUGUUGGAUAUGUAUUCAAAGGAUAGCCAAGAAGAAGACAUGAUUCCCAUGUAACCUCUGACACAAAGUGCUCUUAAGAUGGCAUUUGGUUGUAACGCUUCAAACACGCUUUCAUGGUCACUGUUGGUGCUGUGUUUGAGAUGAUUCCACCAGAGUGCUAGCUUGUUCAGGUUCUUCUUAUCAAAUAAUCUUGCCUCAUUUGCUUCCUUGCUGCAUCUUACAUUCUGAAGAUUUAUUAUGGAUAGCAUCGCUAGAAGUUCAUUCAACUC